CCCUUUGUUUAUUAUACCUUUGUUGCUUUGGCGGGCCCGUCCUCGGACCACCGGCUUCGGCUGGUCAGUGCCCGCCAGAGGACCUAAAACUCUGUUUGUUCAUAUUGUCUGAGUACUAUAUAAUAGUUAAAACUUUCAACAACGGAUCUCUUGGUUCUGGCAUCGAUGAAGAACGCAGCGAAAUGCGAUAAGUAAUGUGAAUUGCAGAAUUCAGUGAAUCAUCGAAUCUUUGAACGCACAUUGCGCCCCCUGGUAUUCCGGGGGGCAUGCCUGUUCGAGCGUCAUUACAACCCUCAAGCUCUGCUUGGUAUUGGGCUCUGCCGGUCCCGGCAGGCCUUAAAAUCAGUGGCGGUGCCAUUCGGCUUCAAGCGUAGUAAUUCUUCUCGCUUUGGAGACCCGGGUGCGUGCUUGCCAGCAACCCCCAAUUUUUUCAGGUUGACCUCGGAUCAGGUAGGGAUACCCGCUGAACUUAAGCAUAUCAUA
Molecule: ribosomal RNA, 483 nt
Filed under: Pseudeurotium bakeri
Lineage: Eukaryota; Fungi; Ascomycota; Leotiomycetes; Thelebolales; Pseudeurotiaceae
Description: eukaryotic LSU rRNA
Rfam family: 5.8S ribosomal RNA (bases 131-284)
Source: RNAcentral